This 318-nucleotide long non-coding RNA is filed under the name Capsicum annuum. RNAcentral's name for it is "long non-coding RNA (CANN_LNC020657)". The record is from RNAcentral. Lineage: Eukaryota; Viridiplantae; Streptophyta; Magnoliopsida; Solanales; Solanaceae.
AGGGAGGACCUUACCUCUACCUAAGCUAAAAUCCUAGCAGGAUCCCAAAUAUAAUGGCAAACCAUUAUGACUAAAUGUCUUAUGCCAUAGGCCACUGAGAAACUGAUAUGCAUGCCAAGAUACCCAUACUCACCGCGUUGCAACUCAAGGCAUUAGCUACCUAUUUGCUUUAUCCAAAUUAUACAAGAUGAAAACAUUAUAGUCCUUUAGCAACUCCAUCAUAUAUGUUGGCAUGCAUUUAGCUCUUAUUGGGUCAUAAGAUGUUAAAUGCUGCGAUGAUCGAUGAAAAUAUCAUAAUGUACACCGUACAAAUAAUGC